Molecule: ribosomal RNA, 467 nt
Filed under: uncultured bacterium
Lineage: Bacteria
Description: partial 16S ribosomal RNA
Rfam family: Bacterial small subunit ribosomal RNA
Source: RNAcentral
GAUGAACGCUGACAGAAUGCUUAACACAUGCAAGUCCACUUGAAUUUGGGUUUUUAACUUAGGUUUGGGUGGCGGACGGGUGAGUAACGCGUAAAGAACUUGCCUCACAGCUAGGGACAACAUUUGGAAACGAAUGCUAAUACCUAAUAUUAUGAUAAUAGGGCAUCCUAUAAUUAUGAAAGCUAUAAGCGCUGUGAGAGAGCUUUGCGUCCCAUUAGCUAGUUGGAGAGGUAACGGCUCACCAAGGCGAUGAUGGGUAGCCGGCCUGAGAGGGUGAUCGGCCACAAGGGGACUGAGACACGGCCCUUACUCCUACGGGAGGCAGCAGUGGGGAAUAUUGGACAAUGGACCGAGAGUCUGAUCCAGCAAUUCUGUGUGCACGAUGAAGUUUUUCGGAAUGUAAAGUGCUUCCAGUUGGGAAGAAACAAAUGACGGUACCAACAGAAGAAGUGACGGCUAAAUACGUG